GACGAACGCUGGCGGCGUGCUUAACACAUGCAAGUCGAACGGAAAGGCCCUGCUUUUGUGGGGUGCUCGAGUGGCGAACGGGUGAGUAACACGUGAGUAACCUGCCCUUGACUUUGGGAUAACUUCAGGAAACUGGGGCUAAUACCGGAUAGGAGCUCCUGCUGCAUGGUGGGGGUUGGAAGUUUCGGCGGUUGGGGAUGGACUCGCGGCUUAUCAGCUUGUUGGUGGGGUAGUGGCUUACCAAGGCUUUGACGGGUAGCCGGCCUGAGAGGGUGACCGGCCACAUUGGGACUGAGAUACGGCCCGGACUCCUACGGGAGGCAGCAGUGGGGAAUAUUGCACAAUGGGCGGAAGCCUGAUGCAGCAACGCCGCGUGCGGGAUGACGGCCUUCGGGUUGUAAACCGCUUUCGCCUGUGACGAAGCGUGAGUGACGGUAAUGGGUAAAGAAGCACCGGCUAACUACGUG
Molecule: ribosomal RNA, 467 nt
Filed under: uncultured bacterium
Lineage: Bacteria
Description: partial 16S ribosomal RNA
Rfam family: Bacterial small subunit ribosomal RNA
Source: RNAcentral